GUCAGGAUGGCCGAGCGGUCCAAGGCGCUGCGUUCAGGUCGCAGUCCGGUCUUCCGGGCGUAUGUUCGAAUCCCACUUCUGACA
This 84-nucleotide transfer RNA is filed under the name Ixodes scapularis (black-legged tick). RNAcentral describes it as "tRNA-Leu". It matches the Rfam family "tRNA". From Rfam's summary of the family: Transfer RNA (tRNA) molecules are approximately 80 nucleotides in length. Their secondary structure includes four short double-helical elements and three loops (D, anti-codon, and T loops). The record is from RNAcentral. Lineage: Eukaryota; Metazoa; Arthropoda; Arachnida; Ixodida; Ixodidae.